Molecule: non-coding RNA, 574 nt
Organism: Micropterus salmoides (largemouth bass)
Lineage: Eukaryota; Metazoa; Chordata; Actinopteri; Centrarchiformes; Centrarchidae
Source: the annotation of a RefSeq genome assembly
GUGCAAACUCAGUGACCUUCCUUGUUACUCAGCUAUAAAAACUUCCCAUCGGGCUGUCAGUGGAGUUCACAGCACGUCACUUUCAACAUAAACCAUGUUUUCUGUAGCUCUGCUGCUGCUGUUGGCAGCUGGAUGUAUGAAGUGUGAACAGUUGACACAGCCAGCCUCUGUGACUGUGCAGCCAGGUCAACGUCUGACCAUCACCUGUCAGGUCUCUUAUUCUGUUGGCAGCUACUACACAGCUUGGAUCAGACAGCCUGCAGGGAAAGAACUGGAGUGGAUUGGAAUGGAAUGUGUUGGAUGUACUGCAUACUACAAAGAUUCACUAAAGAACAAGUUCAGUAUCGACUUAGACUCUUCCAGCAACAGAGUGACUCUAAACGGACAGAAUGUGCAGCCUGAAGACACUGCUGUGUAUUACUGUGCCAGAAGAGACACAGCUGGAGGACAUACAGCCAUACAAAUGCAGUACUACAUCAGGCUAACAAUCAGUCUAGUGAAAGACAAGCUGAUCCUGGAGGAAGACCUUGAUUUCACAGAGAUGGAAUGGCACCAUCUUUACCGUCAGCAGUGA